AUACGUAGGUGACAAGCGUUAUCCGGAUUUACUGGGCGUAAAGGGCGUGUAGGCGGUCUUGCAAGUCAGAAGUGAAAUUCCUGAGCUCAACUCGGGCGCUGCUUCUGAAACUGCAGGACUUGAGUGCUGGAGGGGAUAGCGGAAUUCCUAGUGGAGCGGUAAAAUGCGCAGAUAUUAGGAAGAACACCGGUGGCGAAGGCGGCUAUCUGGACAGUAACUGACGCUGAGGCGCGAAAGCGUGGGGAGCAAACCGGAUUAGAUAUCCUGGUAGUCCACGCCGUAAACGAUGAAUACUAGGUGUAGGGGGUAUCGACUCCCUCUGUGCCGCAGUUAACACAAUAAGUAUUCCGCCUGGGGAGUACGGCCGCAAGGUUGAAACUCAAAUGAAUUGACGGGG
This 397-nucleotide ribosomal RNA is filed under the name uncultured bacterium. Its description in RNAcentral is "partial 16S ribosomal RNA". It matches the Rfam family "Bacterial small subunit ribosomal RNA", at positions 523 to 918 of the family's 1533-position model. The record is from RNAcentral.